RNAcentral lists this ribosomal RNA (253 nucleotides) under uncultured bacterium. RNAcentral describes it as "partial 16S ribosomal RNA". It matches the Rfam family "Bacterial small subunit ribosomal RNA", at positions 524 to 776 of the family's 1533-position model. The record is from RNAcentral.
UACGUAGGGUGCAGGCGUUAAUCGGAAUUACUGGGCGUAAAGCGUGCGCAGGCGGUUUGCUAAGACAGGUGUGAAAUCCCCGGGCUUAACCUGGGAACUGCGCUUGUAACUGGCAAGCUUGAGUGUGGCAGAGGGGGGUGGAAUUCCACGUGUAGCAGUGAAAUGCGUAGAGAUGUGGAGGAACACCGAUGGCGAAGGCAGCCCCCUGGGCUAACACUGACGCUCAUGCCCGAAAGCGUGGGGAGCAAACAGG